Molecule: small nucleolar RNA, 80 nt
Organism: Protopterus annectens (West African lungfish)
Lineage: Eukaryota; Metazoa; Chordata; Ceratodontiformes; Protopteridae
Product: small nucleolar RNA SNORD11B
Exons: 1
Source: RefSeq, a predicted model, not a curated record
CUGGGUCAGUGAUGAUGUCUUUUUUCUAGUUGCUUGAUGUACCAUGAAGGCACUUAGUCACUACCUCAUCUGAGACCCGG